This is a long non-coding RNA of Talpa occidentalis (Iberian mole), 467 nucleotides long. RefSeq lists it as uncharacterized. The record is from RefSeq and is a predicted model, not a curated record. Lineage: Eukaryota; Metazoa; Chordata; Mammalia; Eulipotyphla; Talpidae. The transcript is spliced from 3 exons.
GAAGGCUGGAGAGCCCAGAAAGAGUGAAGACUUGCUGGAGGCUGGGAGGCCUGCCAGCCUCCUGGCCCCCUGGCACCUCUGCCUGCUGUGUACCUGCUGCGAGCAAGCAGAAAAAAGAAUAGGUGUUUCAGACAACAGAAUGGGAGAAUUUUAAAAGGUUCCUGUGAACUUUCUCUCCAAAAAUGUCAGUUUUAGAGCUUCCCCAAAUGAUAAGUUCUUAUGUUUCUGAUGACCUGAUGCUGCCCUGAAAGUGCCCAUCACUCAACUGUCAUCACUCUUUGCGGAUAUUAUCUCUGUGAAAUGUUGUUUCUCUCACUCAUGUGAUAUUAAGACCUUCUCUGACUGCUCCCGUGGGGUAAAAUAUUCUUUCUCCAUCAGUAUUCCUGGCAUGUGGCAGCACUGGCUCAAAGACUGGUAAUCCAACUUUGAUCUGAAUUAUUUGUUAAUCACAGUUUUCACCUCCUAAG